RNAcentral lists this ribosomal RNA (502 nucleotides) under Saccharomycetales sp. RNAcentral's name for it is "partial large subunit ribosomal RNA". It matches the Rfam family "Eukaryotic large subunit ribosomal RNA", at positions 132 to 657 of the family's 3401-position model. Lineage: Eukaryota; Fungi; Ascomycota; Saccharomycetes; Saccharomycetales. The record is from RNAcentral.
CAGUGUCCGAGUUGUAAUUUGAAGAAGGCAGUCUUGGUGGGCAACCUUGUCUAUGUUCCUUGGAACAGGACGUCACAGAGGGUGAGAAUCCCGUGCGAUGAGGCUUGUCUGCUAUGUAAGGCGCUUUCGAAGAGUCGAGUUGUUUGGGAAUGCAGCUCUAAGUGGGUGGUAAAUUCCAUCUAAAGCUAAAUAUUGGCGAGAGACCGAUAGCGAACAAGUACAGUGAUGGAAAGAUGAAAAGAACUUUGAAAAGAGAGUGAAACAGUACGUGAAAUUGUUGAAAGGGAAGGGCUUGAGAUUAGACUUGGUUUUGCUCAAUCAUUUCUCCUUGUGGGAGGUGCUCUUGGCUUUACCGGGCCAGCAUCGGUUUUGAUGGUGGGAUAAUAGCGAUUGAACGUGGCCCCUCGGGGUGUUAUAGCUUUCGUUGAUACCGCCUAUCGGGACCGAGGACUGCGUCUUUGACAAGGAUGCUGGCGUAAUGAUCUUAAGCCGCCCGUCUUGA